UCACCGGCCAGACACAGAGAAGCAGUGAAAGUAAGAUAUAGAGAAGUAAGAAAUAUAAUAAGCCUGGUACACCAUCCCCAACUCCCAAAGAGAUGCUAAGUGGACAAGGGCAUCCCUUUGGGCCUCCGAUGCUUUGAGAGCACUGGGACCUAUCUCAUUGGAAGGCCAUCCACCUGUGGUCCUGGGCACACUCUCAGCCUGAAAGUGCUGGAAGACUUGUCUCACCCCGGGGCUGGACACAAUACUGACAGGCCGGCAUCUUGCUGCCUCCUGACAUGACAUGCUGUGUGACACGGUGACUCACGUGUGGCCUGAACAGAAUCUCUGUUGUCACCUCAGGACCAAAGUUGAAAGAGACCACUGGACUUUAUCGUGUGUUUUGUCUCUUCUGCUGGCUGGUGGCAAACAGUUCCUGGUUCCUGAGUGUGGAAUAUCCCACCCCUUAGGCAGACUGGAUGCUCACUCAGUGAUGAUGGCUGGGUAAAGGUGCCUGAGGACCUGAGUUGGAUCCCACAUGAUACAAGGAGAGAACCAACUCCUGAAAGUUGUCCUCUGUUCUCCACAAUU
This is a long non-coding RNA of Mesocricetus auratus (golden hamster), 567 nucleotides long. RefSeq lists it as uncharacterized. The transcript has 3 exons. The record is from RefSeq and is a predicted model, not a curated record. NCBI's taxonomy places the organism in Eukaryota, Metazoa, Chordata, Mammalia, Rodentia, Cricetidae.